ACUCUUCAACUGCACUUUUCCUAGUGAAUUGUGCAUGCUUGGAUUUUGAGCGUUGCAGUCUACUGCUCGCUCGUAAUAAAUUAGCAUAUCUAAUUCGAACUCGGAUUGACUUGAUGUAAUAGACUAUUCAUCGAGGACGAGAUUGAGUGAUAGCUUCUAAUCACUUUAGUCAACCC
Molecule: unclassified non-coding RNA, 176 nt
Filed under: uncultured Sporidiobolales
Lineage: Eukaryota; Fungi; Basidiomycota; Microbotryomycetes; Sporidiobolales
Description: sequence contains ITS2
Source: RNAcentral